This 254-nucleotide ribosomal RNA is filed under the name uncultured bacterium. RNAcentral's name for it is "partial 16S ribosomal RNA". It matches the Rfam family "Bacterial small subunit ribosomal RNA", at positions 524 to 776 of the family's 1533-position model. The record is from RNAcentral.
UACGUAGGGGGCGAGCGUUGUCCGGAGUUACUGGGCGUAAAGCGCACGCAGGCGGUCUGCUAAGUUUGGAGUGACAGUUGGUGGCUUAACUGCCAAAGUGCUUCGAAAACUGACAGACUUGAGGGCUUCAGAGGGACACGGAAUUCCGGGUGGAGUGGUGAAAUGACGCAGAUAUCAGGAGGAACACCGGUGGCGAAGGCGGGUCUCUGGGCAGUAACUGACGCUGAGGAGCGAAAGCGUGGGGAGCGAACAGG